Molecule: ribosomal RNA, 829 nt
Filed under: uncultured bacterium
Lineage: Bacteria
Description: bacterial SSU rRNA
Rfam family: Bacterial small subunit ribosomal RNA
Source: RNAcentral
UCGCGUCUGCUNUGAAAGGCUGGGGCUUAACCCUGGUUUUGCAGUGGNUACGGGCUAACUAGAGUGCAGUAGGGGAGACUGGAAUUCCUGGUGUAGCGGUGGAAUGCGCAGAUAUCAGGAGGAACACCGAUGGCGAAGGCAGGUCUCUGGGCUGUAACGGACGCUGAGAAGCGAAAGCAUGGGGAGCGAACAGGAUUAGAUACCCUGGUAGUCCAUGCCGUAAACGUUGGGCACUAGGUGUGGGGGACAUUCCACGUUUUCCGCGCCGUAGCUAACGCAUUAAGUGCCCCGCCUGGGGAGUACGGCCGCAAGGCUAAAACUCAAAGAAAUUGACGGGGGCCCGCACAAGCGGCGGAGCAUGCGGAUUAAUUCGAUGCAACGCGAAGAACCUUACCAAGGCUUGACAUAUACUGGACUGCGUCAGAGAUGGCGUUUCCCUUCGGGGCUGGUAUACAGGUGGUGCAUGGUUGUCGUCAGCUCGUGUCGUGAGAUGUUGGGUUAAGUCCCGCAACGAGCGCAACCCUCGUUCUAUGUUGCCAGCACGUGAUGGUGGGGACUCAUAGGAGACUGCCGGGGUUAACUCGGAGGAAGGUGGGGAUGACGUCAAAUCAUCAUGCCCCUUAUGUCUUGGGCUUCACGCAUGCUACAAUGGCCGGUACAGAGGGUUGCGAUACUGUGAGGUGGAGCUAAUCCCUAAAAGCCGGUCUCAGUUCGGAUUGGGGUCUGCAACUCGACCCCAUGAAGUCGGAGUCGCUAGUAAUCGCAGAUCAGCAACGCUGCGGUGAAUACGUUCCCGGGCCUUGUACACACCGCCCGUCAAGUCACGAAA